Molecule: non-coding RNA, 66 nt
Organism: Caenorhabditis elegans
Lineage: Eukaryota; Metazoa; Nematoda; Chromadorea; Rhabditida; Rhabditidae
Source: Ensembl
CCUAAGCCUAAGCUUGAGCCUAAGCCUGAACGUACGCCUAAGCCUAAGCCUAAGCCUAAGCCUAAA